GUGGUGGCUCAGUGGUAGCGCGCUCACCUAGCAAGCGUGAACCCUGGGUUCGAUCCUCAGUACCACA
RNAcentral lists this transfer RNA (67 nucleotides) under Marmota monax (woodchuck). RNAcentral describes it as "tRNA.Ala". Lineage: Eukaryota; Metazoa; Chordata; Mammalia; Rodentia; Sciuridae. The record is from RNAcentral.